CAGUACCAAGCCACACAUCUUUGGAAACUGAACAUACUGUAUUUUAAUACAUGCUUCCAGAAAUUAUGUCACCUUGGCUAUGGAGAUUCAUUUUCACAAUUGAGACAUUGGACUUUAACUCAUGCCACAUACAUGAAAAUGAGGCUCCAUAGCCAAGGUGAUCGAAAUACAUUCCCGAAGAGUGUAUUUGACUUUUUUGUAAAAU
This is a non-coding RNA of Paramuricea clavata, 205 nucleotides long. The record is from the annotation of a GenBank genome assembly. Lineage: Eukaryota; Metazoa; Cnidaria; Anthozoa; Malacalcyonacea; Plexauridae.